This is a long non-coding RNA of Apis cerana (Asiatic honeybee), 5988 nucleotides long. RefSeq lists it as uncharacterized. The record is from RefSeq and is a predicted model, not a curated record. Lineage: Eukaryota; Metazoa; Arthropoda; Insecta; Hymenoptera; Apidae.
AAUAAUAAUAAGACAUCUUUUUUUUUCAGAAAAUAUUUUUAUUUACUAUUUCCUACAUUCUCAUUUGAUGAGCUAUUUCCCAGGAAACCAAUAAAAGAAACUUUAAUAUUCUGAUAUUCAUUCGUCGAGUAAACACGCGCCAUUUAUACAAAAAUGAAAUAUCCAUCGACAUUAGUAUCUUGAAUCGCUAACAAAAAGAAUCCAGAAACUAAAAUCGGAUUUGCAUUGUAUAAACCUAUAGAAUAUUUUCUAUGAGAAACAUGAGAAAUAGAAUAUUCAAAAAAUUUUAAUGAUGUAAUGCUAAUCUAAAAACAUCGAGUACAAUUCAAGAAGUAUUAUAUAGCUAGAUGUAUACAUUAAGAGAGAAUUAUCAGUUAAAAGGCAGAUACAAAAAUAGAAGCUGUAAUUACUUCUAUAGACUACUGUCGAUUGAAAUUGCGCGUUUAACCGCUUUAUCAGUUGAGAAAUAAUAACUUAAUAUAAUGCAGAUUACGUGACUUUUUCAUGUCAAUCUCACAAGAAUAUUUCAAUCGACAUAAACAAUCAAAUGUUCUGAUUGACAAAAUUAUAUUGUAUAUGAAAUGUAUAUUAAAUGAUUGAAAAUCUAAUUUGUAAGUAAUGUUUAUAAUGAUAUUCUUAAUUAUAUUUUAAAUAAUAUAAAUUAAAAAAUAUAAAAUAUCGAUAAUAUUCAAUACAAAUUAUAAUUUUAGAAGUAUAUUUUAGGUUAACCUUUCAUUCUAUAAAAAUGAAAUAUUUGGAGAAAAUUAAAUUAAAAAAAUAAAAGAUAUAAAGAUACAAAAGACAUUUUUAAUUGAUAAUGAUUAUAAAGUGAUAUUUUAACUAUUACAAUUAAAUAUAGGUCAACGAGAAAGAUUAAAUAAAAGUAUCUUAAUCAAAAACAUUACACGAAAUCAUAGAUGAAUAAGAGUCAACCGAUCAGCGCAUCUUUUCGUUCUGAGCAUGCGCACUUUACAGUUCUGAAGUCGUACAUAAGUAGGUACUACGUGAAUAUAACAGUGCAUAUUUCUUAGAGACAGAGGAGCUGGAUACAUGAAAGUUUAAUUAAUUCAAUGUAAUACAUAUAUUUGAGUAAAGAAGUUGCUCUACUCUAUGUCAUAUAUGUAUAUAUAUUUGCCUUUAGUAAAGUUGUAAAGCAUAGCUAUAGACUCGUAUAUGACAAGAGACUUCCAGAACUUGGUAAUCAUAAACAUGCGAUACGCAAUGCAGGACAAACAGAACGCGAGGGAUACAAUAAAGACAACCUCGAGUUUGUAAGUUGGGGAGAUUGGAAAUAAUUAUCUGCCGUCCCAUUUAUUAAUGGUCCAUGUACGAGUUAAUUUCGUUAAAAGUAUCAAAGACAGUGAGAUACAAUUUCUUUCCUCGUAUCAUGAGAUUUCCAACAAGACAAAUCGAAUUUCUAGAUGAGAAAUGGAACAAUUCUUAUAGUUAUAUAAACUGGAUUAAAUCGAUUAAAACACGUUGUUUGAACUUUGUGAAAAAUUGAAUAAUCAAGAAUAUUAAAUAUAAUUCGCUUCAAUGCGAUGUGCGACGUAUGAAUUAAAUAAUAAAAAAAAAAUAAUACAAGCCCAUUUUUGCAAACAAGAUAAAUAUUUUCAAGUUUCAAAAAUUCCAUAAAAAUGAAAUCUCAUGAAAUUCGAGUUUUCAAAAAUUAAAUUUCGGAAAAUAAAAAAAAUAUUUCGUAAAUCGAAUUCCCUAAGUAAAUGUUAGUUCUCAUUUGGAGAACGCUAUGAAAAUCGUGGUAUAAUGUUUUAAUAAAUUUUCGGAACCACGGUCACCGGCACUUCCGGUUAGAAUAACUUUUUCUCAAACAUGAAUUUACCUUUGUCCUAAUGAGCAGCGAUUCAGCGGCAACGAUAUUAUGGUAAUUUACCCGAUAAUCGAUUUCGUGGAGCGUUGCUCCACGACCCUACCUGUGACCGCGAUUUCACUUUUCCGUUCCUAUCCGGACAGCCGCGAGGGCAAUAACGUUUUAUCGCGGUUACGCGCGGACGCCGCCAUAAUCGCGGAGAACCGCUGGCGAUUCGAGCGCCAACGUAUCGUAGAAAAAGGUUGAAACUUGACGAUAAGACCGUAUCGCUCCAACAACGCCGAGUGAUUACACGUUCGGGCAACUGAGCAGUGUUAAACUUAAUUUAAAGAAAAAGAAAAUAAAACAGUGAUGUGAAAGAAUCUUGAAAGGAACAUUCCUUUUGAUCUUUUCCCUCUUUUUUUUUUUUUUACAUACUUCGUGUGGAAGAGUGCGUGUGAGAAUUCAUGUAUUUCGUUAACUUUAUAGGUUAAGUUAUUAAGGACGUAAUGCGAUUCUUAUACACGUAUGAUUGUUUGUUAUUAUACGAUAUAUAUAGUAAUUUUAAAUUAAGUAACGAGUAUUUAAAAUUUUUUUAUCAAUAAUUGUAGUUUAUUAUCCUUGUUGUUUACGAGCUGAUCAAAAUUUUUGUUUAUAGAUCGCUUUCAAGAUCUUAUUUUCAAUCAAAUAUUUUAAUUUCUGUGUAUAUUAUAAUUCUCUUUAAUCAAUAUGUAUAAUCAUUGUUGUAUUGAAAUAUAAAAGGAAAUUAAAUUAAUAUUUGAACACUAUUGCAUGCAUACAAAUACAUUGUUAUUUUCACUUUCGUUUAUCUAAUGAAAUUUUCGAUUAAGCGAUACAUUAUCUAGAAAUAAAACGACGUGCAUAUAUUAUUUAUCAAUAUAUGUAUAUAUAUAUAUAUAUAUAUAUAUAUAUCAAUUCUAGUUAACUCGAUACAUUACAUGCAUCAGCUUCGGAUUAAUUAAUAUAUUUCGAAUCUUCGCUAUAAAAAAAAAAAAAAUACGCAAUCCACUAUUCAAUCAGGUAAUUAUUCCUCUGUUCUGGUUUCAGCAACGAUCCCGCUAAUAGGAUAAUAAUAAUUUCACCUUGGUUGCUGCGAGAAUUGCAUUAAAUUAUAUAAGAACAAGCGAACCAUAUUCAAAAACCAGUAAAAUGAGACCCUGACAUCGCUUUUAUGAUCCUUGUUCGUUGCAAGGUUAUAAAAUAUAUAAGAAGUUAAGAAGAUUUAAUGGAAUGAAUUUUUUUUUAUACUUUUCAUAUUAAUAAUAUCUAUUUUUAAAUUUUUUUUUGUAAGUAGAUUCAAUUAAAAGAAGGACUAACUUAAUAAUCUUAACUUAAGUCAAAAUAUUUAUCUCGAUUAUUGUUUUUUUCUCCAAUCAAACUUAUCUUGAAAUAAAAUAUUUACUUUGAUUAUUCUAGCUUAAGUUAGGUUAGGUUGAUCUUUAAACGUUCAGCAAUUGUUACUUUACUUUACUUUGAAUAUUUUACAUACUUUUGCAUUUUACUCAUCGUUUAUGUUAUCACAAUUUUCCACCUGUUCACUCUCUCCAAAUUCUUACAAUUUUAUUUAAAUUUAUGAAUCUCUUAAUCCGUCCGAAUCACGAAUCCUAUCAUUCUCCAAUUUUCCUCGAUCGUUUUAAUCCUUUCCUUCCUUACUUAAUUAUCCUCAAAACCUGAAUAAGAAUCGAAGAUUGAAAGAUUCGACGAAAUUUUAAUUUCCUGGAAUAAUUAAUUUCAAAGAAGCCCAUUAUCAAAAAUCUCCCUCCCUCAUAAAUUUAAAAGACAUUUUAAUCCAUGAACGUUGACAAAUAUUGCACGAUUUUGCGUGAAACGGUCUCUAUAGCGGGGAUCAAUUCGAAUCAGUUGAAAACCAGUUUCAUUAAUCGAAUGGAUCCGAGCGUGUUGAACGGUUUCGAAAAUGGCGUUUCGAAGGGAACGAAUUAUUCGGCUGGCGACGACAGUUCCGAUUCUGGCUUUUCUUAUUCGAUCGGCCGAAUUUCGUGGCCUCCCUGUUCACAAAACGCUUCAUUGCGGAUAAAAUCCCUGACAUUUCCACGUAACCAUGGCCCGUCAGUCGAAUUCGUUCGUCAAAUAUCACGAUCAUGAAUGUAGCUCGAUCAAUGAGAUUUGUAGAUUAUUUUAGGUUAAGUUGUCAUAAUAUACCAAGUUUCGACUAUUUUUUUGGAAAUGGAAUAUAGUUAUCGAUAAACGAGUGGAAAAUGGAAUAUAAAUAUCAUUUCGUAGUUAGAUUGGAUAAAAUUGUGCGAAUAAUAAAUAAAAUUUAAAAUUCAUGAAAAUCAAUUUAAUUCUUACAUUCUUGUUUAUUUUUCAACUUUUUUUUUUACGAAUUUUUUAAAUUUAUUAAAAUUUUCGAUAUUAAUUCACGGAAUGGUUUAAAAUUGAAAUAAUAUUGAUUCCGUUAAAAUUACUUUACAACGAAUUGAAAAUAUAAUGUUAAUUUUUUAUGUUUUUUUUUUCUUUUUUCGAACUUUUGUAGUCGAUCAAUUUGAUAAUAUUCCUUUUCUUUUUCUCGUUAAAAUUAAUUAUUCGUUUCAAUUACGUAUGUUAUAUUCGUUAUUCACACGAUAUUAUCCCCAAAUUUAAUUAAUCAGUCAAAUUAACCACGAUCCUAUAAUAAUCUCCGACAUUUUUUUUAAUUACACGAGAAACCACUCUGUGUAAACAUACAGCUGAAUUUCCUAUUGCAUCCUUCGCAUCUAAAUCUUGGAAACAAGACAAUAUUUACCAAAAAACAUCCUCUCAACCCUGGCUACAUCAACGCAGCAUUCUUUUCUCCGGUGAAACACCCCGUACAUCUCGAGCCCUCUCGUUCCUCCUUUUCACCGUGCGGCAUCUCUUUUCAGGCGUAAAUUUUCUCCCCUUUUUAACAACGACCCCUUCUCCUCCGUCCCCGUCUGCACUCGAGCUCUGCAACUUUUAAUCCUGAAGACCCUUUCUUCCACUCUGGCUGCCAGUCCGGAUACGUAACGCGGAUCUGAAUAACGACUCAUCGAGUCGUGCAAUCGACGAUUACCGAAAGUUGCUGUCCAUUCAACAGUUCGUCUCUCGACUAAUGAAUUACACGGUCGACCCGUGCAAUUAUUCUCCUCUUAUUCUUCUUUUCUUUCUUUCUUUCUUUUCUUCCUUCUUCUUGUAUUCAUUGCCUCUUUGUUCCUUUGUUUCGAGAUCGACAGCGCGUUAAAAAAAAAAAAAAGAGUAUCUCGAUGGUGAAAGUGAUCGUCGAUACGAGUAAACCAAGAGCUGCGAGACUUUGGCAGAAGUCGACCUUUCCGUGCAAAACUCGCUUUUGCAAGGAUUGUGCAAGUAAUAUUUUUUUUUGUUUCGCGAUCUCGUUGUUAAAUAACCUUCUGGCCUUCUGUCUUCGUAUCGAGAUCGUUCCAUUUCCUUGCAAACCGAUGUUCGUAGGAUAUUAUCUUUCGUUAUCUCUUUCGUAUUUUCUUUUUUAUAUCUUGAUAGACACGAUUUGAAAAGAAAAUUUGCUUUUGUAUCUUUUAGUAUUACUUAGCUUUCACGUGUUAGAAAAAUACACGGUUAAAUGCGCGAUACGAACCUUUUCUCGUUGCUCUCGUUCUGCCAUCUAUCGUCUAAUAAUAGAAUCUAUUUUUAUCCCGCGUAAAUUUGAAUCGUAUGAUAUUUCUUCGUCAAUUUUUUUUUUUUUUUAAAUAUUUUGUUGAAUUAUAGAUGCGUACAUAUGAAAUUUGAGGUGAAAAUUUUAUUUUCGCCUGAAUGGAUAAAUGGACGAUCGAAUAUAAAACUGUUCAACAGUAAAUUUCACAUUUCUAAUCAAUUUCGACGAAAAUUAACGAACGUCUUCGACGCAAGGUUUUCGGCAAAAUAUCUCUACAUUUACUACUCACCGCGGAAUGCGUUUGAACGUUGGACAAAUUGUAUUUAACUGGUCGAGUGAGCAUGUUUAACAAUUCACACCAAACAAAUAAUUCCAUGGUGUGAGACGUUGAAAAAUUCAUCCGACAAGCAUUCAAAGUUUGCAACGCGUUAAAUAUGCAAUCGAUCCAACGGAGAUUGUUCUAUUCGAUUAUAAAUCCGGCUUUAGAAUUUGAUUUGACGUUUGAAAUGAUUAAAACUUUGAAUAGAAAAAACGCUAUUGGGGACGAAAUUAUAUUUAAAUUAAAAAUUUAUAA